RNAcentral lists this non-coding RNA (45 nucleotides) under Schistosoma mattheei. Lineage: Eukaryota; Metazoa; Platyhelminthes; Trematoda; Strigeidida; Schistosomatidae. The record is from RNAcentral.
AUCCAGCUGAAGAGUCCCAUAUAUGACGAAACUUCCGUCCUGGAU